This is a long non-coding RNA of Triticum aestivum (bread wheat), 1482 nucleotides long. RefSeq lists it as uncharacterized. The record is from RefSeq and is a predicted model, not a curated record. The transcript is spliced from 2 exons. Lineage: Eukaryota; Viridiplantae; Streptophyta; Magnoliopsida; Poales; Poaceae.
UUUAUGCUGGUAGCCUCGAUGCUUGUUUUAGCUUGGUUCUGGAGCACCGUAAAAGUACUUCGUCCGUAAGGAAAUAUAAGAGCGUUUAGAGCAACUCUACCAGGGCGAUCCAAACGGAUACGCGCUUUGUCCGCUUGGACCGGCCAGGCGGAUGUGCACAUCCGUAUUUUAAAAUGGGUCGGCUUGACCGUCCAACGAAAAGACCGAUCCAAAUGUGCUGGCGUGGAAAAUAAACAAAAAGGUUGCACGAAAUAAACAUAAUUAAACAUAAGUGGCCGGUCAAACUCCGGCCAAAGUCUACUUAGAUCUAAUUAAACAUUAAAUAAAACAUUAAAAAAGUCUGCGCCCGCCUGCUGCCGCCCCGCACGCUGCCCUAGACGUUGUCGGCCUUGCCCUUGCCCUUGUCGUCGACGCCGUCGUCGUCGGUGAGGUCGAUGAAAACCUGAGCAGGGCCAGUCCACCCGAACGCCGCCUGGUACGCUGUCAGGGCGGCGGCAUUGCGGCCAGCCGCGCGCGCCCCUCCUCCUCCUCCUCGAGCCGGAGCGCCUCCGCGUCACGUUGGAGCAUGACCUCGUAGCGCAUCUGGGGGAUCAAAUUCAACAAUUUUUGUCAACUAGCAUUUGAACUUGUAAAGCUACUGGUAACAAAGUAUAUUAUAAUAAAAAUGCUGCGAGGACCAUAUCAUUGUCUAAAAUCACAGUUUUUUGUGAACUGGCAUGAGUGUACAUACAAGACUUGUCCAUUUCUCCUAUAAAACUGAGGUGGAACUUGUACUACCAGUUUGAUCUUUUACUGAUAACUUUAUACUUCUACAGAAUUUACCUAGAUUUCAACCAGAGAGUCUCGAGAAGAAUGCCCAGAUAUUUGAGCGUGUUGAUGCGAUGGCCACAAGGAAAGGAUGCACACCAUCACAACUUGCCUUGGCUUGGGUUCACCAUCAGGGAAGCGAUGUUUGCCCCAUCCCUGGGACAACAAAAAUUGAAAAUUUCAACCAAAAUGUGGGAGCAUUAGCUGUGAAGCUCACACCAGAGGAAAUGGCUGAACUCGAGUCUUACGCGGCUGCAGGUGAUGUUCAGGGUGACAGGUACCCUCCAAUGGCUAGUACUUGGAAGGAGUCUGAGACCCCUCCAUUGUCAUCUUGGAAAGCUGAGUAGACAGUUUCAUCUCUUCAACAACUACACUGUUUACUUUUGAUGAGAAGGUAAAAGCAGGAUAGAGUUGAACCCAGGAUUUCGUUUUCCAUUUCUGCAGAUGCAUGUAUAUGAACUGAGCUGCGAUGUGUGUAUGUUAUGCUUGGUUACCGAUUUGCUCCUGCUUAAUAAAUGUCAUUGCUAUCAAGGCUUCUGUAUUGUAUUGACCAACAAAAUACAAGUGAUGUGUGAUAUUAAUAUGUCGGCAGAAUGAAUAAUCCUGUUUAAAUUAUGUAAUGAAACCGUUGGUAGAGUAUGUGCAGUGGUGCAGAGACCAACAGUGGUUACCAUA